Hypomesus transpacificus is the source of this 1876-nucleotide long non-coding RNA. RefSeq lists it as uncharacterized. Lineage: Eukaryota; Metazoa; Chordata; Actinopteri; Osmeriformes; Osmeridae. The record is from RefSeq and is a predicted model, not a curated record. The transcript is spliced from 3 exons.
AUUCAAGAAUGCAUAUGAGUGACGGAUAAGCAAAGCUGGUGAAAAAUGACAGAGGAACAGGGAAUUCAAACCCCAAGGAGGAGUAAUGAUGACAAAUGACAUCUGCCUUGUCUCCAGGAGGGUUUGCUACAUGUGGAAGGGAGCUGCACAAAUGUGGAAUGAGCAGUGAGGCUCUCUCUCCGUCACUGACAGUGUAAAGGGCAGGGGGCCCAUCGAAGCGCACGGCCAGACUCCCAUCUAGAAGCAGGCCUGCCACUUUCCAGCGAGCAAAAGGGGGAAGCAGGGCGCUAAUGGAAUUUCGGGAUCCAUUUAAAUGCCAUUGGCUUUUAUCGGCUUGGUGAGGUACAGUAGAGGACAAAGCCCUUGUUUAGGUUCAUGUUAGGUAACUGUGGGUUCAGGUCACACCAGGUCAUUUUCAGUAUGUAUAUUUUAUAAUACCAUCCAUAUUCAAAGUUUUUUUUGUCAUGCUGCAGAGAUGUAAUCAUCCGCACAUUGUCUCCACAUGCAUCACCAGGCCUCAACACAGGAAGUGAACUUUUUUUAAGACCUCACUUCCUGACCAAGGCCUGUUUUGUUCCCUUGUCAUGAUGAGUCUUUCACCUGUGUCUAAAUGAAGGGGUGGGUUUCUAGCCAACCCACUUGCUUCUAGGUGUCAGCCAUCUGAGGAGGUCAUUAUUACAAUGUCAAUCUACGAGGAUGGAACAAGAGUCAUCAUUUAAAUCCAACAAAGUGGAAAAAGGAUGAUGGCUUUCGCAUCCUGUAACAGAGCAACACGUGUCCUGAAGGGAUGCCAGAGUCCCUGGCCUGGGGUAAGACUUCUGAACCAUGACCAGCCUAUCAUCAAACCCCAGCCAGCAGCACGGAGGCUCAGACAGGGGCUUUACUGGCUGUUUGAGGUCACCCGCUACGACCAGUCGUCUCAUAUUUACAGACCAUUGCAUCAUCUCUCCCAGACAAAUGAGAACCUGUGUAUUAUUAAGCGGGUGUAGAACGCAAGCUAAUUAACUUUGUCAUGACCAAUUUCCAAGACUCAGAGUCAUCUCACAUGAAGGUAUGGAUGGAAAUCACCAGUCACAAUGUGACUGGUGAUUUCUAGGUGGCUUAACGUUAGGUUAAUGUUAGGGUUAGGAUGACAUUAUGGGUUGGGAUUCAAUAUUAAGCAUCAUUUCAGGGUUAAGGUCAGAAAAUAGAUUUAGGUUUUGUUUUUGGGUGCAGGUAAGUUUUCUGUGGUUAAGGUUAGGGUCACAAUAAGGGUUAAGGUAGGUUUAGGGUUAGGGUUAGAGGUUAGCGAAAAGAGGACUUUGAAUGGGACUGAAUUGUCCCCACAAUAAUCACAACACAAAUGUGACUAUGGUGUGUGUGUGUUUGUUUGUGUGUGUGGGGAGCUGUCUAUACACAGAACAGUGAAAUCCCAGAUGCUUACGGGUACCAUGGGCAACCAGAGAAAGGCUGAAGUCAGACAGUGAGGAAGUACUCGACUCUUGCAUCAAGGACUCAUGCCAGACUAACCCGUCCUCCACCCUGAGCCCAAACAACAACAACAGCCAUUUAUACUGUCUGGGGCUUUUAGGGGGGUGAAGAAUGUGCUCUAAUAUGCAGCCUGAAUAUGAUCACUCAUGUUGAGCCAUAAGAAUAUUAAAAGAACCACCAACCAAACCAACCUUGUUUGUAAUCAAAUACGGUUUGACUAGAGAGACUACUUAGGGACGCGCAAAUGAGCUAUGAUCCAUUUAAGUGAACGUCCUUUCUGUAACCACACCCUCCUGGCCAGCUCACAACAGUACAGUGUCUGUACACAAAUCUGCAAGAAGGGUGGAGUCAGGUGGCUAAGCGGGUAGAGCAUCGGGCUAGUAAUCUGUAGGUUGUCAGUUCGAUU